CCCUUAGAUGUUCUGGGCCGCACGCGCGCUACACUGAUGCAUUCAACGAGUCUAAAACCUGCUCUGAUAGGGGUGGGUAAUCUUUUGAAUGUGCAUCGUGAUUGGGAUAGAUGAUUGAAAUUUUUCAUCUUCAACGAGGAAUGCCUAGUAAACGCAAGUCAUCAGCUUGCGUCGAUUACGUCCCUGCCCUUUGUACACACCGCCCGUCGCUCCUACCGAUUGGGUGUGCUGGUGAAAUGUUCGGAUCGGCCGUUUGUCGCGGUUUCCGCGUCAUGUGGCUGAGAAGUUCAUUAAACCCUCCCACCUAGAGGAAGGAGAAGUCGUAACA
This 328-nucleotide ribosomal RNA is filed under the name uncultured eukaryote. RNAcentral describes it as "partial 18S ribosomal RNA". It matches the Rfam family "Eukaryotic small subunit ribosomal RNA", at positions 1470 to 1796 of the family's 1831-position model. The record is from RNAcentral.